This 508-nucleotide ribosomal RNA is filed under the name uncultured bacterium. RNAcentral's name for it is "partial 16S ribosomal RNA". It matches the Rfam family "Bacterial small subunit ribosomal RNA", at positions 30 to 523 of the family's 1533-position model. The record is from RNAcentral.
AUUGAACGCUGGCGGCAUGCCUUACACAUGCAAGUCGACCGGCAGCGGGGGAGAAGCUUGCUUUUCCUGCCGGCGAGUGGCGAACGGGUGAGUAAUACAUCGGAACGUGCCCUGUAGUGGGGGAUAACUAGUCGAAAGAUUAGCUAAUACCGCAUACGACCUGAGGGUGAAAGUUGGGGACCGCAGGGCCUCAUGCUAUAGGAGCGGCCGGUGUCUGAUUAGCUAGUUGGUGGGGGAAAGGGCUACCAAGGCGACGAUCAGUAGCUGGUCUGAGAGGACGAUCAGCCACACUGGGACUGAGACACGGCCCAGACUCCUACGGGAGGCAGCAGUGGGGAAUUUUGGACAAUGGGCGAAAGCCUGAUCCAGCAAUGCCGCGUGUGUGAAGAAGGCCUUCGGGUUGUAAAGCACUUUUGUCCGGAAAGAAAUGGCUCUGGUUAAUACCUGGGGUCGAUGACGGUACCGGAAGAAUAAGGACCGGCUAACUACGUGCCAGCAGCCGCCGUAA